Molecule: long non-coding RNA, 456 nt
Organism: Mytilus californianus (California mussel)
Lineage: Eukaryota; Metazoa; Mollusca; Bivalvia; Mytilida; Mytilidae
Exons: 3
Source: RefSeq, a predicted model, not a curated record
GAUUAUCACAUUUGUGGUGGUGAUUACUUAUGUAGUGUCAAGUUAAGUCGUCUUUUUUAAUAACUCUGUAUUGUGUAACUGACUUGAAUAAUGAAUCUUCCUAUGAUACUAAUUACAAUUCUAUUCUUCUUAAGGAAAUGAUUUAUCUAUAUGGACUGGCGCACAUAGUCCUAACCAUGACGAGAAUUUUGUAUUUGCCGUUGAAAAUUCUGCUUUUUUAUUGUAUAAUGUUCCAUUUGGAGGAUUAGACGAGGAUGAUAUCGGGGAGGACUGUGUCAAUAUAGAAUUUGAUACUUCAGAUGGCUGGGAAUUUGAAAAUGAAGAAUGUGAUGACCAAUAUCGAUUUAUUUGUGAAUUUCCAAGGAAAACCUGUCCGUAGAAGUGUAUGUAGCCGUUGAUAUAUUCCAAUAGACGAAUAUUUCUUAUCCUUGGCGCAAAAAAAAUAAAAUCAUAUUG